This is a non-coding RNA of Rhodobacterales bacterium 65-51, 73 nucleotides long. Lineage: Bacteria; Pseudomonadati; Pseudomonadota; Alphaproteobacteria; Rhodobacterales. The record is from Rfam.
GGGGCAGUAGCUCAGUUGGGAGAGCGCGUCGUUCGCAAUGACGAGGUCAGGGGUUCGAUCCCCCUCUGCUCCA